This 207-nucleotide ribosomal RNA is filed under the name uncultured bacterium. Its description in RNAcentral is "partial 16S ribosomal RNA". It matches the Rfam family "Bacterial small subunit ribosomal RNA", at positions 568 to 774 of the family's 1533-position model. The record is from RNAcentral.
UUCGUAGGUGGCCUGCCAAGUCAGACGUGAAAUCCCUCGGCUCAACCGGGGAACUGCGUCUGAAACUGACGGGCUUGAGUACAGGAGAGGAACGCGGAAUUCCAGGUGUAGCGGUGAAAUGCGUAGAUAUCUGGAGGAACACCGGUGGCGAAGGCGGCGUUCUGGACUGUUACUGACACUGAGGAACGAAAGCCAGGGGAGCAAACG